AGGGAAUCUUCCACAAUGGACGCAAGUCUGAUGGAGCAACGCCGCGUGAGUGAAGAAGGUCUUCGGAUCGUAAAGCUCUGUUGUUGGUGAAGAAGGAUAGAGGCAGUAACUGGUCUUUAUUUGACGGUAAUCAACCAGAAAGUCACGGCUAACUACGUGCCAGCAGCCGCGGUAAUACGUAGGUGGCAAGCGUUGUCCGGAUUUAUUGGGCGUAAAGCGAGCGCAGGCGGAAUGACAAGUCUGAUGUGAAAGCCCACGGCUCAACCGUGGAACUGCAUCGGAAACUGUCAUUCUUGAGUGCAGAAGAGGAGAGUGGAACUCCAUGUGUAGCGGUGGAAUGCGUAGAUAUAUGGAAGAACACCAGUGGCGAAGGCGGCUCUCUGGUCUGCAAACUGACGCUGAGGCUCGAAAAGCAUGGGUAGCGAACAGGAUUAGAUACCCUGGUAGUCCAUGCCGUAAAACGAUGAGC
Molecule: ribosomal RNA, 469 nt
Filed under: uncultured bacterium
Lineage: Bacteria
Description: partial 16S ribosomal RNA
Rfam family: Bacterial small subunit ribosomal RNA
Source: RNAcentral